GAUUAUUUUCCCACUUCACAAACACAUCUCAGAAUCAUAGGUGUUUUCACAUACGAUUCCGAGUUCACCUCCGUCAUCCCCCCCCCCCAUUAGGUUGUACAAUGCCUUUGUUCUUGAUGCUGACAGCCUCAUCCCCAAGAUUGCACCAUAGGCAGUGAAGAGCACUGAAAUCCUUGAAGGAGAUGGCGGAGUUGGAACCAUUAAGAAGAUCAACUUCGGCGAAGGUAGCACAUACAGCUAUGUCAAGCACAGAAUCGAUGGAGUUGACAAGGACAACGUUGUGUACAAAUACAGUGUGAUUGAGGGAGAUGCUAUCUCCGAAACAAUUGAGAAAAUUUGCUACGAGACUAAGUUGGUGGCUUCCGGCAAUGGUUGUGUCAUCAAGAGUACCAGCCACUACCACACUAAGGGAGAUGUUGAGAUCAAGGAGGAGCAUGUUAAGGUUGGCAAAGAGAAGGCCUCCCACCUCUUCAAGCUGAUUGAGAACUACCUCUUGGAGCACCAGGAUGCCUACAACUAAACAUUAUCUGCUGCUACAUUCAUGUGUUAUUUAGUCUCGUGUCAUCUUUGCCAUCAAAUAUUGUUGUGGUUUUAAUCCGUUUUAUAUAUCUUUUUCCCUUCCAAAACAGAGUUUGGCUUGUACGUAAUUGAAGGUUUUGAUUGAAGAUUGAAUAGCGGAUCUGAUUAUUCAUGCAUGUUGUUGUUGUUCUUGUUUUUUUUUUUUUUUUUUUUUUUUUAAUGCAAAAUUGUAGUUACUAAUGUUAAGUUCCAUUUUCCUAACUGCUUUAGUUUACUUAACACAUGAGAAGCGACAUUUCAAUUACCAGCAAAUCAUAAUAAUUGAAUAACAUUUGAAUCUCUACCACAUAAUAGCAUAAAGUGAUGAAAUGAAAACUCUGAUUUCGUUUUCCUUGUAAACCAUUUGGUAAUUCAUACCAUAAAUACGCCCAUGAGUUAAACAUACCCAUGAUGAUGAUUUAAGAGCUUGCCUCAUCUGUCAUGACUCAUCUUCAUCCGCGGCUCUUGCUUCUUGCACACGAAUUUUCUUAGCUAAUCUUAUUUUCGAUUUUUAAAUUAAUGUACAUCACGCCAUACAUGUUAGGUCUGCUAUCCUAACGUGUGAUUUUAUUUUUAUAUUUCACCUAUUUCUUUUGGCGUUUCAAAGCUUGUUUUGCAGGUUUAUACCUUUUUGGGGGGUUAGGCCCUAUAUCACUUCCCUCUUUUUCUUGUAUUUCUAGUUUUGUUUUCAAGAAGAAUCAUGUUUAUGUUCCCCCCUCUCGUUUUGCUACUUUUCUGCUUAAAAUGACCCGUGACUUUGUAAAUAAGCAAACUUACCAAACACAAAUUUUACUCGAACGAUUUUUAUCCAUGCUUUUAAAAUAAUUUAAGUAGUACCAAACCUUACCUUAAUUGUUUUUUAUUGACAAAUGAUAUUAUCUACAGUAAGGAGUUAAGAGAUCGAGCUAAGCCUCACAUUGAGCUAGUAAUAAUGUGCUUCAAAUUUAUCUUUGGUGAGAAUCGAACCUAAGAGAUCUCACUUACAAGUGAAGAGAAAUACCACUAGCUAGACAAUCAUACUAAGUGCCAUUUAUUUUAGGGGUUCAAACAUAUAAAAAAAAGAAGAAAAGCAUUAGGUUUUUCAAAUCAUAACUAAUGUCUGAGGCCAAACGAAUCAAUAAUGUAAAAAUAUCGGACCUAAUGAACUAAAACAUAAAAAUUACAUACGCACCAAAUUGACUGUAGCGAAUCUACUGAACCUAAUGAACUAAAACAUGAAAAAUACAAACUAUACCAAAUAUACUAGAUCUAAUGAACUAAAACAUAAAAAAUAUGAACCAUACCAAAUUGAUCGUACCGAAUUUACCAGACCUAAUGAACUAAAACAUAAAACAUAUGAGCCGUACCAAAUUGGUCGUACCGAAUUUAUGGGACCUAAACUAUAUAACGAACCAAAUUGAAGUCACAACAUAAUAGACCCUACAAAACUUCGGACCUAAACUAGUACAACGUACCUAAUUGUUAUUUACAAAAUAUAACCAAACGUACCUGAUCAACCAACAGAACCAAACAAUGAAAUUCCCCACAUAGGCCUUUCAAUAAACCCAUGGUAUGCAUUGUAAGGUAAUGUUGUCUCUGCCAAGACAAUUUUUGGAUGUAAAUUAGUGCAUUCUCCACAUAAUAUCAUUAUGAGAGCUUUCAAAAGUAUGGUAAUGGAACUGGUUAUACAAUAUUUCAAAUUUGCAUAAUUAUAAAAAAAAUGGUACGUUAUAGACAAAAAAGAUGACAUUCUUGUAGAAAAUGAAGAUUGAUGUUACGUUUAUAGGUGAUAUUGAAUCUACAGUUACAUUUUUAAAACUUUGAUGGUGGUGGUUACGUUGCAAACAAUAUAACCCGAAUAUCUAUGAAUUUGAUAUGAUAUUCAAUCAUAAACUAACUAAAAAGAAUUAGGUGAUUGUUCUUUGUAUAAAAGUAAUCGAAUGUUGUUUCAUUUUUUGAGAUUAAAAUCAAAUACAAUAUUACACUUGAAUCAUAACUCCAUAUUGCAAAUAAAUACUGCUUUUGUAUGAGCAAAAGAAAAAACGAAAGCCACACGGCUGAAUAAACAGAAAAAAAAAAAAGGAGAGGACAGAAAAUUUGUUUCCCUACUUUUAGCAUGCAGAAUCAUAUGUAGAUCUAUGGUUUUAGUUAUAGGCAUCAGGGUUGGCCACAAGGUAGUUCUCAAUGAGCUUGAACAAACCAUGGGCCCUUUCUUUCCCAACCUUAACAUGCUCUUCCUUAAUCUCAAUAUCUCCAUUGGUGUGGUAGUGGCUAGUGCUUUUGAUGAUGGAACCGCUGCCGGAAGCCACCAACUUAGUCUCAUAAGAGAUCUUCUCAAUCUUAUCAGAAAUGACAUCUCCUUCAAUCAAACUGUAGUUGUAGACAAAGUUAUCCUUGUCAAUUCCAUCAACCUUGUGCUUCACAUAGCUGUAUUCACUUCCUUCACCAAAACUUAUCUUCUUGAUGGUUCCAACACCUCCAUCUCCCUCAAGAAUUUCAGCAGUUUUAACUGCUUGUGGAGCAAUCUUUGGGAUAAGGUUGUCAGCAUCAAGAACAAGAGCAUUGUACAACCUAGCAGGAGCGCAGACUGAGGCGAAUUCAGUUUCAUAUGUGAAGACACCCAUGGUGAUGAUUGAGAGCUUAGAAACUGAUCAAAGUAAGAAUGAAAUGUGAAGGAAGAAAAGAGAAAUUGAUAAUGAAGGUAUUUGAUGGUGGAAGAUAUGGAGGUGGUAUUUAUAGGUUAUUGGUGAGGGGCUGUUGUGUAAUGUGAACCCCUAUGGAUAGAGAAAAUUGGACAGUAUUUAGUUUCCCAUUGUGAACAUUUUAUUCAACGAAAGGCACCUCUAGAAGUUGAUUUUGUAUAUUCCAACUUAAUACAACUAGCUGGUGUGCUAAUUAAUAAUGUGGAAUUUUUUUAAUAGAAUGUUCUAACACGAGAUGAUCGGAAUAUUACAGCAGAGCUGGUGUGUUAAUUCUGUUGACUACUGACUCAAUAAUAUCUUUUUGGACUAGAAUAAAUCUAAGUUCCCUUUAUGAUUCAUUUCUUAUCUGAAGUUCUGAACUCUUUGAUCAACAUAAGGACUCCGAUGAAACUACAAUGUUGCUCGUUCCCAAGUGUUUUAUUCAAAUAGGGUCGCAUGAUUGGUUUAGAAUGUCGUCACAUUAGUGUUUCUGAAACUUCGACAUAAUAUUAAUUAAGAGCGGACUUAUUUGAAAGAGCCCGAAUAUUAGUAAGCAACCAGUCAAGUUAAUAUUUGUACAUUAUUUAAUCGACUCUAUGGCGCGAAUUUAGUUCCAUUGUACACAUGCAUGCUUAUUUCUUCUCAAGUGAGCCCAUCCUAACCCUACUCUUCUCCAACACACCCCCCAAAGUCUCUCUUUUCCGACGACGCCACCUGAAAUCGUUCUCUUCGACAACAACAUUUGUUCGAAGAUGAACGGUCAUGGGAGAGGAGAGAACGACAUCGAGAUGAGAGUAAUGGGAGUCAGAUGUUUGGUUACGUAGUUAAGGAUGUUUGGUUACAGGACUAGUGUGUAUAUCAAAUUGUUUAAAAUUGGCACAUAUUUGUAUCUUAUUAGGUCACUUAAGAGAGUGAAUAAAUUGAAUAUUUUCCGGUGAGUAUCCAAGUAUUAUCCUAUUAUUAAUUAGUUUUAUAGCAGAACUUCAAGUUCUUUCACCAUUUACAUUUUCAAAAGAUUUACAAGUAGUUUUGCUUUAAAAAAUAGAUGCAAAUUUAAAUUUGAGCCCACCAUCACUUUAUUAUCCCUCUUCCAGAAAAAAAAAAAAAAGAAAAGAGGAAAAACCAAACUUAUCUUUUGAUGUCCCUUUAAAUUUGCUCACUAAACUUUCCGACCAAAAGAAGCUCAAAACUUUAAGAAGGGCAACUUGUUCAAAGUAUUUCUGAAAGGUUCAUACCGAUCAUAAUUUGUGCCAACACUAUUACAGGUUGGAAUCAAGACUUUCAUUAAUAUUUCAUGAACAAUAUUACAAAAAUAUCAAUAUAUCUUUUAAUUUGAUUCCAAUUGUAACGUUUUAUUACUAUUUUUCUAUUAAUCAAAACAAAGCCAAAACAAAACAUUUGAACACAAACCACAAAUAUGAACAAGUUUUAAUUUAUUAAAAUGUUUUAAAAGAGUGACAUUUUAUAACCAAGGGCGAGAAAAACGCCAGAACAUACAAUAGUCCAAAGGGUAAGCUUCGACGGAGGGUCUCUGAAAAACCUUACUUGAAAAAGCCACUUGGGAAAAAUUCCAGUGAAAGAAAAGAGACCGAGCAAGCCAACAAAGACAACAACAGAACAUUUAAGUAGUUAUAGACUCCGAAAUUAAAAUAUCAACAAGCCAAGGAGGGCCUACAUCAGUCCAAAAAUCAAAGCAUUGUUCAUGAAGACCAUGUCACGCAAUCCGGUGCGCAGCCCCAUUCGCAGGUCUGGAAAUUGCCCACAGGACCAAGUAACGAUCCUGAGUUAGCUGUCGCACCACAACCACAUAGCUGUGCCUGUAGAUUAUCAACCAGUUUAUGCAAGUUCGUAAUGUACAGUUCUAUUGUUGUCCCUACUGCCUCACGACUAGUAUAUGCACUUCCAGAGGUUCAAUUUAGGAAUGACUUGACCUGCAAUUCAACAUUGGCUGCAAUGCGUCGACUUUUGAUUGGCAGUCAUUUUUCAUUGGCUUUUCACAUCUCCAAAUUUGGAAUAUUCAAUUGUAACAAAUAUUAUCCAAAUACACAGUCCUACUAUAUUAUCUUCUUCAGAUGCCCUUAUGUCCGCUACCCGUGACUAUGCCCGUUGUGAAUGUACAUAAAGUAUUAAUAGACAAUAUGAUUAGAGAUACUCCAACAAUACGUCAACAAAAGUCGGAUUAUUGAAAAGUCCAGUAAAUAUAACAGCACAGGACACAAAGUGUUAAGUUGGGGGAGAAUAUGAUCUCUAAAACACUAAUUACUUAGUGUUACGGUCUAAUAAUAUUCUUCUUUAAUUGUAAAUAAGAUAACUUAGGUUCGAACGUGUGAAUUACAAAUUUAACACCAAUUUAUUUUCUACACCCCUUAGUGUAAAAAUAUAUCUUUGUUUUAGAAAAUAUGAUGUGUGAUCUCUAAAGCACUAAUUGGUAAGCACAAGAAAAAAUUGAGGUUAGUCCAUCUCGUGGAGUAAUUGGCCAUUUCUUAUUCUAUGUCCAGAUGGUUCUUUCCUUGAUUACGAUACAAAAUUUCCUUGUACAAAAGUAAUGGUUCCCACGUCCACGAUGAAUAAAACCCAUUAAACAAUUAGGAGCUUGCGUAAACCUUUUGAUCCACCUUCUGCCUCAGCCUAUAAAUACCAAUACAUCUUCCUCACUUCUUCACAACUCAAAAUCUCCCAAUACAUCAUCUUUCUUUCUUAGACUUCCUCUUCGUCGAUUAUUUUCCCACUUCACAAACACAUCUCAGAAUCAUGGGUGUUUUCACAUACGAAUCCGAGUUCUCCUCCGUCAUCCCCCCCCCCACUAGGUUGUACAAUGUUUUUGUUCUUGAUGCUGACAACCUCAUCCCCAAGAUUGCACCACAGGCAGUGAAGAGCACUUGAGAUCCUUGAAGGAGAUGACGGCGUUGGAACCAUUAA
RNAcentral lists this long non-coding RNA (6137 nucleotides) under Malus domestica (apple). RNAcentral's name for it is "long non-coding RNA (MDOM_LNC011947)". The record is from RNAcentral. Lineage: Eukaryota; Viridiplantae; Streptophyta; Magnoliopsida; Rosales; Rosaceae.